UAGGGAAUCUUCGGCAAUGGACGAAAGUCUGACCGAGCAACGCCGCGUGAGUGAAGAAGGUUUUCGGAUCGUAAAACUCUUUUGUUAGAGAAGAACAAGGACGUUAGUAACUGAACGUCCCCUGACGGUAUCUAACCAGAAAGCCACGGCUAACUACGUGCCAGCAGCCGCGGUAAUACGUAGGUGGCAAGCGUUGUCCGGAUUUAUUGGGCGUAAAGCGAGCGCAGGCGGUUUCUUAAGUCUGAUGUGAAAGCCCCCGGCUCAACCGGGGAGGGUCAUUGGAAACUGGGAGACUUGAGUGCAGAAGAGGAGAGUGGAAUUCCAUGUGUAGCGGUGAAAUGCGUAGAUAUAUGGAGGAACACCAGUGGCGAAGGCGGCUCUCUGGUCUGUAACUGACGCUGAGGCUCGAAAGCGUGGGGAGCAAACAGG
RNAcentral lists this ribosomal RNA (429 nucleotides) under Gemmatimonadota bacterium. RNAcentral's name for it is "Gemmatimonadetes bacterium partial 16S ribosomal RNA". It matches the Rfam family "Bacterial small subunit ribosomal RNA", at positions 355 to 776 of the family's 1533-position model. Lineage: Bacteria; Pseudomonadati; Gemmatimonadota. The record is from RNAcentral.